Molecule: long non-coding RNA, 11854 nt
Organism: Gasterosteus aculeatus aculeatus (three-spined stickleback)
Lineage: Eukaryota; Metazoa; Chordata; Actinopteri; Perciformes; Gasterosteidae
Source: Ensembl
GUCACGUACACUGAGGAAACUUUACGGGUCACUGGGAAGCAAAUCUAUUCGCACCAGUGUGUAUCAUCAAAUAAGACUUUGAAGUCCAUGAUCGGUAAGUAUAUUCACAAGGAGGAACGUAAUUCGGAUAAAUGGCUUAAUCCUCUGUUGUUUGCAGUGGGGGAGGUUCCCUAGGCGUCCACAGAAUAUUUUCUUUUGAUCUGUUGUUUGGCAGGAAAUGACAGGGGUGCUCAACCUGAUAAAGAAAACGUCUUAGACCUGGAAGCAAAACGCCAUGCAAUGUUUAGAAGAGGGUUCAGGCUGAGACAAUUCACAACUGAAGAAAACUUCUUUUCCGUCCUUCUUCCAGUUUUUAACUCUUCGCCAAGUGGCAAGGGCCCUUUGUUUGUCACACGGUGUUUGGGAGACGUCAACUAUGCGUUGGGACAGGGGCUGGGCUACGCAUCUCAACCUCAAGAGCGGUGCUGGGGCCCGAGGUUUCAAAUUAAUCAAUUGGAUUGACCUUGCCCCUUUGUGAAGCCCAUCUCUCCGGAGCCCAGAGAACCGAAGAUGCCUCGAAGAACAAUGUCCGGACAUUUUCCCCCCCUGGCGAGACGCACAAACAACAUAGAGCACUAAAUUGAGACUUUUCCAAGUGUAUAGUACAAGUUGGCUGCUGUGCUGGAGAUGGGGUAAUAGAGUCAAAAAGUGCUUGGUAUAGCCCCAUUAUUCUUGUUGUUAAGAAGGGUGGAUCUAUUGGGUUUUGUGUGGACAAUCGCAGGGUGAAUGAUGUGUCAGGAUUUGAUGCGUAUCUAAUGCUCCGGGUUGAUGAUCUCCUGGACCGACUAGGUGUCAGGAAGGCGGGGAAGACAGGACUCAAACGCAGAGUUUCCAGAAACAAGACUUUAAUAGUCAAACUUCUAAAUCAAAAGGCCAAGGGUAAAAAACGUAGACAGGAACCCUCAGAUAUGGACUUCCGGACAUUCAACAAUGAACAAUGACGCCACAAGUGACAAGAGACACACAUAGCUUAUAUAUACUAGGGAGGUGCAGGUGAUUGGACACAGGUGGAAGCAAUUAGACAAUCACAGGGGAUGAUAGGACAAGGCAGGAAGUGAAGUUACCCAGGGACACAAGAGGCAGAAAACAACAAAAUAAGACCGGAAACAAACCCAAACCGUGACACUAGGCACUGCACGUUUCUUUACGACACUGGAUUCAACCAAGGGCUACUGGCAUAUUCCUCUUUCAUCAAAGUUACGUAAAUGACCUUCUCCAUUCCGUGCUUUCUAUACGAAUUCACCACUGUUCCUUUUGGGUUGUUUCCGUGCUCCAGCUACUUUCCAACGCCUCUUGGACAGAAUGCCGCGUCCACACACUGCUAAUGCGGCCGUCUACUUGGCGGAGGGAUCAUCCACAGCAGCACCUGGGCGGAGCAUGUGCAGCAGGUGGGUGCAAUGGUGGAGUCCUUAAGGCAGACACGGCUCACCGCCAACCCAUGUCACAGUUAGACGGAUCGAGGUACGGUAUGUGGGGUACCACUGGGGUAGCUGGCAGAUGCGCACUUAGGUGGACAAGACUGCACCUCUUCCAAACACCUAACUAACUCUCUUCCAUUUACUCUGCAGAUGCAUCAAACACAGGGCAGAGGGCCGUUUUGUCCCAGUAGAUGCGGGGAGUGGACCGCCUCACUGCAUGAAAAGUGGGAUUUUCGGCAGUAUGCGGCACUGUAAAUUGUCAGAAAUUGAUGUGUGCCUCCCUUGGCAGUUGUCCCCCCAUGUCCCCCCUCCUCCUAAUUCUAGGGGAGGCUUUGACAUGUAAAUGAAAAUGCUGUGAGCUAUACAAAGGCAAAUCAGGGUCGCAGAGGGAGUUUUAGCCCAGGUGACAUUUUUUUAAAAGGUAAGAAAAUCUCUGGUACAAAUAGAUCAGGCUCAGUAGCCUAAUUAUAGACUCUUACAUUUGAGCUUGAAUUGAUUUAUUUAAUUCAAAUAUGCUAGAUUACUGUGUACGCCAUUAGCAAUGGCAAAUGUUAUGUAAAAAAGAUACACAAAAUAACUUCUUUAAAAGAUGAGUUUUAAUCAAGGUAUAAUGAGCAUUUCAUGCAAACAACAUUUGAAUCAGAAUGAGGGGUCUGCAGAGAUCACAGUCUCCUAGAGCUCAACUACAGUGCAUAGUGGCAGGACUACAGUGACCUUUUCUUUGGUCUUACUUAAAUGCACAGAGGAUGUAUUAACCACACAUCUUCUAGCAAUGCGCUCAACUGGCAGAAAUGAUGCUGGGUAUGACGUAUCUGUUCCCUGCAACUUUAUUAAAGUGUGUUUUCUUUGCCGUGUCGUUUACAGGAAGCGGUGCGCCGUCUUCACAACUCCGAGACGAAUUACAGGCGCUACGAACCGUAGCAAGGGUCAGAUUUAAAGAAUAUGCUUUCAUUCUGCGGUAUAAGGGAAUAUAUACGUAUAGAUACCGAUCAUAACUGUACAUUUUGUUUUCACAGACUAAUCUCGCCUCAUAAUGAGGCGGUGACCUCGUAUUUGCUCCGGGAAAAGUCCAGAUUUAGACGACGUCAUUGUGUGUAAGUGACACUGUUUACUGUUUCUCCUUCCUUGUUAAAUGUUACUGUGACUUGAUUUUGAUUUUUUUUGAUUUUGUAUUCAUACCACACUCAUUUAAUUGUUUUCCAGCUCCCUGUGAGACGUAUUGUGAGACGGGACGCAGGAGCUUCAGGUUUAGCCGGAACACUCAAUGCGGGCGGAAGCUGCGAAGGAUUCAGCGCGGAGUCGAGCGAGAAGAAAGACGGUCAGAGUUUAUUUGCUGACUUUUUUCAGGUGCAUUGAUCGAUGUGUUGUGUCCAUACGCAUCGCAUCGCACAGUACUGAUUCAUUGUCGUUUUUACAGCUGCUGGAAUCGAGACAAAGUGUGCUGGCGGAUGACGAGGUGAAACUCUGGAAAUCCGCCACCGUAGAGCUCACGUCGGACGGAGGGGACGGCGUUGUUGGCGGGGUCUCGGGUGGAUUGUACGGUCGCCACACGCACACGAGCCGCCUGCACAACAGACCUGCCUCGGAAAACACGGCGCCAGUGACGGUCUACAACCCCGAGGAGGCAAACGGACAGUUUACUGAGCUGUAGUUUUUAAACCGCCGUUACCCAAGUGUGGGCAGAUCCUCACUUUGUAUGUAGUUGUUGUUUGUGUGUUGUUAAUAAAGCUCUUUCUUUGCAUAAACAUGUGGCAAAUGUUCAUUUUCUCUAUAAAUUCAUUGAUGUCCUGGUUGGUAUCCUAAUAAUAGUGUAGUAGCCUGCAUAUGAUAACAAUGAAAUGAACAUACACCAUAAUAUGAAUAUAUAAAUAUAUUUAAAUGAAAUGAGGCGGGUGACCAAUAGCGACAGAUCUGCCAACCAAUCAAUAAAUUAGGGAGAUUUCCGGGCGUUUACGGGGACGAAAAUCUCACUUUUCAUGCAGUGCCUUGUACAAUGCUCCAAUGGCUCGAUGAAGGACACCAAAGCCUGGAUUACUCGGUGGUUCCCAGUGUUACACCCCCUUCAUUUCAAAGUGGUCUACGUGGCUGACUUCCUUUCCCGCUCUCAAAGGAGGAGAUUGGACCGGAUGGCUCCCCUGGCUAAGUAGGGCGGUGGGGGUAUGUGGUGGCGGGGUGUGGUUUGGCUUAGCUGUAGAGGGGAUGUGAAGUGAGGAAUGUGUUUAAAUAAUAGAAAGGAGGGCUUUUUACCUAUUCCAAGUUACCUAUAAGUUUUUCUUAUGGUGUAUUCACACCAUAUUUUCGCCGGGCUUUACUUGUGCAAGUUUACUCGCGCGAGUGAUCGGAGCGGCAGAUUGCGUUAGGCUGCGCUGGUAGGCGCAUUGCAUUAUGGGACAAUCUUUACUUGUAUUUGAAUCCCUAUCUGUUAUGUUCAUGUUCUAGUGUUUAAGUUUACGUGUGUUUUUCUAGGUUCUGUUGUGUUGUGCUCAAAUGUUACUGUUAGUUUAAUGUGUAAGAGUGUGGGCACCAUGACCCAACUUGACUUGCGUGACUUGCGGUGUACGAAACACAGGAAAGGCAGUGAAGUACUUUAAGUCUCCUGUCUCAUUCAUCUGGCCAAGUUCGCCACAUUGGUGUCAGAAGUGGGAUAUAGCUACUAGAAUGCAGUUGGAGAGGGAGUUGGUGGUUGAAAAGCUGGAGAGGGCCCUAGAGCAGAUUCAGAGCCACUUGAGAGGCCUGAUGCGGCAAAAGAUGGAGUCUAAUGAGGAUGGACAACGCCUAACUCUCCCUGAUGGCUGCAGUACCAGACGGCUACACCAGCAGGGGAACGUCUCAAGGCCUCACCCACCACUGAUGGCUACGGAAGACCCUCGACUGACCAGGACGGCUACUACCAGCGAGGGCCUGCUACCUACCAACACCCCUGACCAGCUACGGGUCUUCACACCUGGCCUACAAGGCUCCUCAAUCAAGCCAAGGACAUCAGUCAAACUACCCAAAUACGAUGGGACGACACAGCUGGAGCCAUAUUUGUCACAAGUCCAUCUAGCAGCCCAACACAGCGGCUGGGACAGCGAAGAGUCUGCCACCCUUCUAGCCCUAGCAUUAGAAGGCAAGGCGGUGCAGGUGCAUCAUGACCUAGCUCCAGCGGAACAAGGGAACCUACAGGUCCUAACAAUGGCGUUAAAGAGGAGAUUUGGACAGCGGCCCCUUGUUGACCAGAGCAGGGAGGAACUAGCACUUCCAAGCAGCGGCGCAAGAAGAACUAACCCUCCACGCUUUCCUGAGAGGACUUGCACCUGAGCAGUUGUGUCAGCAUGUCGCUCUCGUCAGAGCCCAGACCCUCGGUGAUGCACUCCACGAGGCUGAACGAGCAGAGGGAGUACUCACCGCAUGGCCCAGCCAGAAAAGAACUCUCCACCAACAGCCAUGUGUCAGGCUUACCAAUCAUGACCAGGAAGAAGAAGCAGAAGACGUCCGUCAGGUGAGGCCUCCACCACAACGGAUGCAGCCCUGGCCUCCAGCAUCCGGGCGGCGUCCCCCAGCCUACUGACCACUGCUAUCGUUGUGACGAACCGGGUCACAUAAUCAGAAAUUUCCCACCCCCAACUCCAAAACCCAGAGCCACUCCACCAGCGAGAAACGACAGAGGAAUGGUGUAGCAAGGUGUGCACCAUUCCGGCCUCCAGUCCCCCUCCAUGGCCGAUGCACUUUAGUCGGCCGCCUCAGACACACUGAAGGGCUGUACCUGAACUGGGGCCCAGGAACUGGUGCACACUUUCUGGCUUGCUGACAUUCGGGACGCAUGUAUCAUCGGCUUGGACCUGCUGACUCGCUGGUGUGCCUGUGUCAACGUGUUAGGAGCAACCAUCACCCUUGGCACAGAGAUUGUGGAGCUCUAGUCCGGUAGGGCCGCACCACCACCCAUGCCGUCCGUCGCCAGUGGCCCUGCACAUCCACAUGCCACCUUGGCGGCCUCCAUUGCACCAGCUGUCUCUUCCUCUAGUGAGACGGUAGAACGGCGUCUGUGACGCAGUUAUUGUUUCCACCAUGGCAAUAAAUAACUCCAAUUUCUGCUCUCUAUUUGUUGUGUGAAUUACACAAACAUCGGAACCGCAAACGGUGUUGUGUUCGGGUUCAUGACAUCAUCCGUCGCCGCAUCUCGUCGUCUGCUUCCAGUAAGCUUGCCAGCAAUUCCUAGUGUGUUCGGUAACCUACAAGGUGGAUUUUGAAGUGCAGAUCCCCUAUUUGCAUGUCAGCAAAAUCUAAGAAAUGCUAAAUGUCCAAUGAAUUAACCAGUUGCACUGAGGCAGGCUCUUUUUGCAUUAUAAAAAUAACAAACUACUUUGUCUAUGUGGACAAUUUUUUGUGGGGUUAACGCAGAGCCCUUGUGAGUUCAUAUGCGGAAAUAUUGAGAUAUCAGCAAGUUUUUGCCACACUUUACUCGCCCAACUAGUUGUUGUUAAUUUGUCUUCAUUCAUUUGCAAUAGCCAUGUCAGGUUUUAUUUUAAAUAUGAUUUUGGUGCUACAUCAUAUUAAAAAAGGCUGGACAUCAAUAUGUCUAUGCAUCCCAAGUAAGUAAGUAGUGAUGUAAUCAGUACUGUUGUGAUAAAACAGUUUUAGAUCAUGUUUCCAAAUGUUGGAUUCCAAAGCCUUCUCACACUGAUUGUCCUCCGUUUGUCUUCAUUAAAUCAGUUUCAAGUGAUGCAUCUUAGCCGAUAUAUAUUUUUAAUGGAUGCCAUGUUUUCAUGCAUCAUUUUUUCAAAGCAAAUGAGGGCGGUUGGGCCUUUUACCAUAAACCGCCUAUAUGACACUACAUAUAUACAUAUAUUAGGAUAAAGGACAAGAUCAGUGAGCAAACCAAAACCAGAUCCAUUAAUUGCUUCUCCACUUCUACUCCUGACCCCUGGGGAGUGUGUGACACGGGAGUGGCGGGUUGAAAUGUCCCCUUCAUUAAGCCGAUGCAGAAUCAAUCCUCUGAAGAGGUCGCACAGCGGCUAAUCAUACAGCAGAGUUGGGUACGUGUGGAGAAGACACAGGCAUAGUUUGUCUUCCUAAAAAACAUUUUGCUGUAAUAGAAAUGAGAAUCGAUUCUGACUAAAUCUUUCUGGUAGAGUAUAUAUCGGUGUGCGAUAAAACGACUGUUUUUUCAUUAGGUAAUUUUAGGAAUUUCUAGUAAAGCGACUCCCAUUAAUACCAUUUCGUUUAUGUUUAGUUAAAUUGAGGUUCAAGUAUCAAUUCAGACUGAACUUGAUCUUGAAACACUUUUUCUAGUUGUGUGUAUUACCAAUACCAGCCAUAACGCCUAUUAUUUAAAUGGAUUUUCACUGCCAUUCAGUACUGUCUGUACUAUGUGCCAAAAUAAGGUGAAUCCAAUCAUUGACAGUGCAGUCAUUAGGUGAUGAGGGCCUGAUGAAUAGUGUCAACUGGGUGUCUUGUUUGAUUAUCUGGGAGGGAUCCCAGAGGCUUGGCUCUCUUCUAUGACUUUUGUGUGGUGUAUUGCUUGAAAUACAGUUUUUCCAAUUUGUUUUGCAUGUAUGUUGUGGCCCCCUAAGAGUGGAGGACUUUGUCUAGGAGACAUGGUAAGUAAAAAGGGGGGAAGAGGAGGAAAUACAAUUUGUAUAAGAGACUAAAAAACUGUUAUGAUUUAUUCCUUCUAAGGUGGUAUGAUUUUCUUUUCUCAGAAUUCCUGGUGUAGGUAUUCAGUGUUUUGGACUGUUGUAUAUAAAAUAUAACUGCGUACAAGAAUACUAAAGAAGGAAUAAAUUAAAAAAGUAAGUAAAGUCAUGUGCUUCCAAUCAUUCAUUUAGUCAGAGUGUCAACUCAAUAAGCUAAUUGUCCCAAAAAUUGAAAUAAAAAUAACACUGGAUUAUAUUUGAGCACAGCUCAGAAAUGGCAAACUCCGCCAAUCACUAUAAACGCUGUUAUAUAGAGAAGGCAUUGCGGAAAGUAUCAAUAUUGAAUGGUUCUAGCUGAGACAAUGCAGACAGAAUAGUAACGAGAACUGUAUUUGACACUUUCUAAAGACCUGUCGGCCAUGUGGAGCCCCAAAAAUGUGAUGUUUCAUUCUAGAACAUGAAACAAUGAUUGAAUAACAAAAAUGAUUAAUUAUAUUAAUUCAAGCAAGUCAAAACUAAGCAACUCUUUUCACUGUAUUGUAUCAAUACCGCCUUUUAAACAAAAACCGAAGCUUGCUUCCUUAGCGUCGACCACACUUGGAACACAACACAACAAAACUCAUUGACGAGGGAGAUCAAGGCAGCUGAGAGGAGCUACGUGAGGAAGUUGGAAAACAGGAUAUUUAGCCAACAACCCCUCGUCAGUGUGGAGGCCUGCAGGUUCAUUACAUGUCAUUUAGCUGAUGCUUUUAUCCAAAGCAACUUACAAUAAGUGCAUUCAACCAUGUACAGAUACAAACUCAGAAGGGUUUAGGUAGGUUUAGGGAGUAGGUACUCACUAGCUAUAAGAGACCCCCCACUGUUGAGAAUCACAAACUGACAACCUGAUUUUUACUGCAGGUUUGAUCAUCCCACUUUCUCACCCCCCACUGCCUAGACAACAUCAAAUUACUUCCUGCAUCCUUGUCUCCAUCUCCCAACCAGCCCCCCACUGGCACUAAAGAUCUGCGAAGAGGAUGUGAGUCAGCUCUUUUACAGACUGAAGACCAGGAAGGCUCCCGGCCGAGACGCUGUCUUGCCGUCCUGCCUGAAGGUCUGUGCUGACCAGUUGGCCCCCAUCUCCACGCUGAUCCACAUCCGAGCUGUUUGAAGUCCCCUGUUUCUUCAAAUGCUCCAUUAACAUCCCGGUUCCCAAGAAAUGCUCCAUCACAGGAUUAAUUGACUAUAUGGGCCUGUUGAUCGCAGUGGUCACAAAAUCCUUUUGAGAAGCUGGUGUUGACCCACCUGAACAUCAUCACAUGGCCUCUGCUGGACUCCUUGCAGGAGCAAAUAGUUUGCUGGAUUUUGCGGUCGCAUGGGAUUGCAUGCUGCAACACCUCAACACCCCAUAUGUCCAUAUGCAAGGGUUCUGUAUGUAGACUUCAGCUCGUUAUUCAACCCAAUCACUCUGGGUACUUGAACCCUAACUCCCUCAGCUCACAGUGCCAGCCUCCUCCUGAUUACUAACUUCCUGACAGAACGCAAACGACCCUUCUCCCUUUGCAACUGUGAAACGCCUACAUUCUCACCUAAUUUUUACUUUCGUGUCCUUUGUACAUAGUUUCUUUAUAAGAAACAUAUAAAAGACUGUAAAGGAACAAUUCUAUGUAUGCGUAAGCACUAUGCCUGACAGAAUUCUAAAGCUUUCUAGUUUAUGUACAGUGAAAUGUGUAGAAUUGCACACUUGAGCCCAGACCCCAACUGAGUCAACAGAGGGCUUUAGGCAGUGUUUAACCACUUUCAACCACAUCUGCCUGGCAACGUACAACAGUUGUGUUUGUGUGUACGAGAGUUUUUUGCAGUUUUUUCUUUUCUUCCCUUCCCCAAGAGAAUAAGUUGUUGACUCAUGUUAACCGUGGGUGUACAUAUAACAGUCUUUGGACAAAUGUGUACAUUAUAUUUUCUCUUUUGGGCCUUGUUGGAUUUGUAUUUGGAACAUUUUAAAACUGAAAAGUUGACGUUUUAGCAAAGAAUGUUUUGUUUUUCUUUUCCUAUUUCAUUUGAUCUUUCUCUGCCCAGCCAUAUUGUAAAGAACAUAGAUUUGUUAAAGUAGAGCCUUUUAUAAAGGUACUGCAUAGCAUCAAUACGUUAUUCAAAAGGCAUAGGAGACCUUCCAGAUGAAUUAUUCAUAUAGCAUUAUUAUCCAAGUCAUUCACAUGUGUCCAUGCUGUUAAUAUAAACGUAGGACAGGUGGAUAGGAUCUUUCUUACUCUGCUUAUCUGCCUUUCUUGCAUCUCUGUCAAGAAUCUCUUUUCUCCUCUCUUCUGUAUUACGUUACUAUCAUGUAUCAUUUUUCUCCUUGUGUUUGUAUGUGUUCAGUAGAGUCUUGACGUAUGGUUCAGGGUUGUUUGUUUCACAUCAGGAAUACAAAUAUCCUCCUUGGAUAGUGCAGGUCUCAUCAAACCAUGUUCAAGCUUUAGUAUUGUCGCCUGCAAUUAUUGAUUUCCUGCCAGGUGCCAGGAGAGCUGAUCUGCAGCUCAUCUUGUACAAUGCAAUUUUCAGAUGGAGUGGAAAGCACUAGCUUUUAAGGAUUGUAUAGGGAAGGAAAAAUGUCCUUUUGAAGAUCAAUGCAAUUCUACAAUAUUGAAAAAAGAACUUUGCUCUGAGCACCAAAAGUGAUUGAUAUGCCUGAGGACCUGAGGUUUUACUCGCUUCAUCUUUUACAAGUGAUACUUGCUCAGGAUUCUUCAGAGUUGGCCCUUCCACACCAAGAAUACAGUUUCUUCCUCACUGCCCUGUGGCAAACCGGAUUUGUUGAGUUAUAUUUGUUUUCUAAAUAACAUAUUUUGCACCUAAUUGUUGAAAAAUCUCAAAUGAUUCAAAUUUAAUUUUAAAUCCGGCAUCAAAUUUGUCCAAUAGCACAUACUAUGUUUAAUGUACAUACAAUUGGAUAUGCCCCAUGAUUAAUGGUUAAUUCAGCCAUAUGAUUCAAUAUAAGCCUGGUAUCCGGUAUUGGUGGUGGUGUAUCUUUACUCAGGAGCUGCAAAAGGGUUAUUGCAAUUUUUAUCAGAGUAGUUACUUUGAUGUGUACAAUUGGUGGCCUUUUGAUUUAAAUGUUCAACAUUCAAAAGGAAGUCUAAUGCAAUAUUCUGAGCAGAUUCCAACCUGAACCCUUGAGCCAUUUCAGUAUUUCCUCAUUAACUGUCUCUUCCUAUUCUCACUCACUCUCCUUCUCUUGCUGUUUUUCUUUUGUCAGCAUGCACAUUAAAACCAGCCCCUGGUUUAUCCAAUAAAAUAAAUUAGACCUAAAUGGUGGUAAAGUAGCUCUUGCCAACCCUUUAUAUAGAAAUCCCAGGAUACACACACAAACAUCUAAUCUAAAUACUGUAGUCAUGCUACAACUACAACAAGCUGCAACACUUUACGCUAGACUGGAGCUGCUAUAUGAAGAAUUUAUGUGCGCAGGCUUAACCAGUCAGUCAUUCAAUAUUCUUUGAUUUUUGCCUUUCAAAUGAUUAUGUCCAAAUGUUCUCUGUACAAUGUGUUAAUAAAAUUAUUAUUAUUAUUAUAAAUUAAGAUAGUUUAAUAACUGCUCACAAUCCCUUAACAAAGUGCUCUGAAAUAGGUCUGGGUGGUGACUAUGUUUGCCUUACUUAAAGGCAUUUUUUCCUUGGUCAGUUGAAGUAUCUCAAUCCGUAGUUUUUUUCAGACUUGGGAAUCUGAUUUUGCCACAAUAGUCAUACUUACCCAGGUGAUAAAUAAUUUACAAUUAAUGUCUUUAUCAAUAGAUCUCUGCCCCUCAUAUUUAUAAAGGCAGAGCGGAGAGUGCGGGUCGGGAUGUAGGGUUUGACCAUGUCCUGGAUGUAAGCUGGACCCGAUCCAUUCACAGCAUGGUAGUUGAGCACCAAUGUUUUGAACUGGAUGCGGGCAGCCACCGGUAGCCAGUGAAGAGAGCGGAGGAGUGGAGUAGUGUGGGAGAAUUUCGGAAGGUUAAAGACCAGUCGAGCUGCUGCAUUCUGGAUGAGCUGCAGAGGUCGAAUGGCGGUAGCAGGGAGACCUGCCAGGAGCGAGUUGCAGUAGUCCAGGCGUGAGAUGACAAGAGCCUGAAUCAGUACCUGGGCAGCCUUCUAAGUGAGAAGAGGACGUAUUCUCCUGAUGUUGUAGAGAGUGUAUCUACAGGAUUGUGUUGUCGCAGUAAUGUUGGGAGUCAGGGAGAGUUGGCUGUCGAUUGUGACGCUGAGGUUCCUAGCGGUUAAAGUGGGCGUUAACACAGAGUUGCCAAAGUUGACAGUCAAGUCCUGGGUUGGAGAGUCAUUUCCUGGAAAGAGAAGUAGUUCAGUCUUGUCGGGGUAGAUUUUCAGAUGGUGGGCGGACAUCCACUGAGAGAUGUCAUUUAGACAGGCAGCGAUCCGUGCCGCCACCUGAGUGUCCGAGUGAGGGAAGGAGAGAAUUAGUUGUGUGUCAUCGGCAUAGCUGUGGUAGGAGAAGCCAUGCGAGCAAAUGACAGCGUUGAGAGAGUUGGUGUAGAGCGAGAAGAGGAGGGGACCCAGGACGGAACCCAUAGGAACUCCCGUAGUAAGAGGACAAGGUUCCGACACAGAUCCUCGCCAGGUUACCCGGUAUGUGCGGCCGUCGAGGUAGGACGAGAGAAGGCAGAGAGCAGAGCCUGAGACACCAAGUUCCUGAAGGGAGGAAAUAAGGAUCAGGUGGUUGACUGUGUCAAAUGCAGCAGAGAGGUCCAGAAGGGUGAGGACAGAGGAGAGAGAGGUGGCUCUAGCAGUGUGGAACUCCACACUGGUUUUA